RNAcentral lists this ribosomal RNA (460 nucleotides) under uncultured bacterium. RNAcentral's name for it is "partial 16S ribosomal RNA". It matches the Rfam family "Bacterial small subunit ribosomal RNA", at positions 338 to 795 of the family's 1533-position model. The record is from RNAcentral.
CCUACGGGAGGCAGCAGUGAGGAAUAUUGGUCAAUGGACGAGAGUCUGAACCAGCCAAGUAGCGUGAAGGAUGAAGGCUCUAUGUGUUGUAAACUUCUUUUAUAUGGGAAUAAAACAGGGUACGCGUCCCCGUUUGAGUGUACCAUAUGAAUAAGCAUCGGCUAACUCCGUGCCAGCAGCCGCGGUAAUACGGAGGAUGCGAGCGUUAUCCGGAUUUAUUGGGUUUAAAGGGAGCGUAGGUCGGUUUUUAAGUCAGUUGUGAAAGUUUGCGGCUCAACCGUAAAAUUGCAGUUGAAACUGGCAGUCUUGAGUGCAGUAGAGGUGGGCGGAAUUCGUGGUGUAGCGGUGAAAUGCUUAGAUAUCACGAAGAACUCCGAUUGCGAAGGCAGCUCACUGGGCUGCAACUGACACUGAUGCUCGAAAGUGGGGGUAUCAAACAGGAUUAGAUACCCCAGUAGUC